This 253-nucleotide ribosomal RNA is filed under the name uncultured bacterium. Its description in RNAcentral is "partial 16S ribosomal RNA". It matches the Rfam family "Bacterial small subunit ribosomal RNA", at positions 524 to 776 of the family's 1533-position model. The record is from RNAcentral.
UACGUAGGGUGCAGGCGUUAAUCGGAAUUACUGGGCGUAAAGCGUGCGCAGGCGGUUUGCUAAGACAGGUGUGAAAUCCCCGGGCUUAACCUGGGAACUGCGCUUGUUACUGGCAGGCUUGAGUGUGGCAGAGGAGACUGGAAUUCCUGGUGUAGCAGUGAAAUGCGUAGAUAUCAGGAGGAAUACCGAUGGCGAAGGCAGGUCUCUGGGCUGACACUGACGCUCAUGCACGAAAGCGUGGGGAGCAAACAGG